Molecule: long non-coding RNA, 860 nt
Filed under: Anser brachyrhynchus (Pink-footed goose)
Lineage: Eukaryota; Metazoa; Chordata; Aves; Anseriformes; Anatidae
Description: lncRNA (ENSABRG00000022345.1)
Source: RNAcentral
AUGGAACCUCACUGCCCUGCCCACUGUUUGCAUCAUAAGGGCUGGAAACCCUGCUGUGGCAUCUCCUGGAGGCUGCAGGCACAGAUAUGUCCAUGCUUCUGCCAUCGUAAAACAUCACUCAGUUUUCAGACAUCACCUGUGCCUCCAAGGACUGAGAUGGGACAGAAGGAUGUUGUGGACUCCACUUCUGCAAAGCUCAAGAAAGAACUGGAGUGGCAGGUGGAGGAGAUUUCUGAAUUCCAUGAAUAUAAACUUCAUAGGCAUCAGCAGGUUCCUUGUUUGGAGGACAUAAGACAUUUGAAGGAAAAAAGAGAAAUAUUGGAAGAAAGAGAACUAGUCUUACAACAGGACAACAUCUUAAAGGACAUGCAGAUAAAAAUAAGCCACUUAGUAGAACAGCUCAAGAACUCUGAACUAAUUGGGUUAAAACUUUCAAAGCAAUUGCGGAAUCAGAUAGAAGCCUUGGGAGCAGGAAGCAGCCAACAAGAAGAGAAGGUGGACAACUGCACAAGCUCUCCCACUCAGAAGACAACCAUGGUGAAACAGACCCAGACAUCAAUGACUGGCUACCUAAAAAAAUUAUCUUCAUGUCUUAGGAACAGUUUAUGGCAGAUUGGCAGGCUCUUGCUACAUUCUGGCUGCUCUUUUAUAGUAAUGCUUUUAUUUUACAAAUACUUAUCUGAUUUUACCUGGAUAUGUUGUCUACUGAAGAGCAUCUCCCAGAAGUACUUCAAAACUUGUGCAUGGCCACAUUAACCCUAGAAAAUUUUAAAGACUCCACACUGGGCUUUUGUAUGGUUGCUGUGUUGCUUCUAUGAAGACCCCACUUUACAAUAAAGCUGUCAUUAAUGCUGAAACCA